GGGCAGCUAGGGAAGCGUUAGGGGCACACUUGGACAAGGACUUAGGGGCAAGAUUUGCAGAAUGUUUCUUAUUGGCCGUAUACUCACCCGCACACACGGACAAGCCGCCAGACGUGUGUGUGUGCGUGUCGGCAUUACUGGAGAUGUUGCUCGGCGGGGUGCGGAGCGCGGAGGGGUUUAAGGAAAUACGGCUGAGAGAGGAGCCGCUACCAGUCAAGGAGGAACCAGGGUCGAGAUUACUGACGCUCAGCAAAACGUUCCAAGGCACGUUCGGGAGCUACACCGCGACGAGAGGACGGACACGCACUCGAGGCAAUUCCAGUACUGCAAGAUCAG
This is a long non-coding RNA of Cydia amplana, 336 nucleotides long. RefSeq lists it as uncharacterized. The transcript has 3 exons. The record is from RefSeq and is a predicted model, not a curated record. NCBI's taxonomy places the organism in Eukaryota, Metazoa, Arthropoda, Insecta, Lepidoptera, Tortricidae.